CUACGGGGUGCAGCAGUGAGGAAUUUUGCGCAAUGGGGGAAACCCUGACGCAGCAACGCCGCGUGAGUGAUGAAGGCCUUCGGGUCGUAAAACUCUGUCAAGUGGGGAGAACCUAUGUAAGGUUAAUACCCUUAUGUACUGACGGUACCACUGAAGGAAGCACCGGCUAACUCCGUGGCCAGCAGCCGCGGUAAUACGGAGGGUGCAAGCGUUAUUCGGAAUUAUUGGGCGUAAAGGGCGCGCAGGCGGUUUUGUAAGUCAGAUGUGAAAGCCCGGGGCUUAACCUCGGAAGUGCAUUUGAUACUGCAAGACUUGAGUAUGGGAGGGGGAAGUGGAAUUCCUGGUGUAGAGGUGAAAUUCGUAGAUAUCAGGAGGAACACCAGUGGCGAAGGCGACUUCCUGGACCAAUACUGACGCUGAGGCGCGAAGGCGUGGGGAGCAAACAGGAUUAGAUACCCUCGUAGUC
This 466-nucleotide ribosomal RNA is filed under the name uncultured bacterium. RNAcentral's name for it is "partial 16S ribosomal RNA". It matches the Rfam family "Bacterial small subunit ribosomal RNA", at positions 339 to 795 of the family's 1533-position model. The record is from RNAcentral.